RNAcentral lists this ribosomal RNA (253 nucleotides) under uncultured bacterium. RNAcentral's name for it is "partial 16S ribosomal RNA". It matches the Rfam family "Bacterial small subunit ribosomal RNA", at positions 524 to 777 of the family's 1533-position model. The record is from RNAcentral.
UACAGAGGGGGCAAGCGUUGUUCGGAAUUACUGGGCGUAAAGGGCGCGUAGGCGCCUUCUAAGUCGAACGUGAAAUCCCCGGGCUCAACCCGGGAACUGCGUCCGAUACUGGAAGGCUUGAAUCCGGGAGAGGGAUGUGGAAUUCCAGGUGUAGCGGUGAAAUGCGUAGAUAUCUGGAGGAAUACCGAUGGCGAAGGCAGCCAUCUGGCCUAACACUGACGCUGAGGUGCGAAAGCAUGGGGAGCAAACAGGG